This 372-nucleotide unclassified non-coding RNA is filed under the name uncultured Rikenellaceae bacterium. Its description in RNAcentral is "contains 16S-23S intergenic spacer region". The record is from RNAcentral. Lineage: Bacteria; Pseudomonadati; Bacteroidota; Bacteroidia; Bacteroidales; Rikenellaceae.
UCCUCCUUACAGAGGCAGUCCCGUUAGAGUGCCCAGCUUAACCUGAUGGCAACUAACAGCAAGGGUUGCGCUCGUUAUGGGACUUAACCCGACACCUCACGGCACGAGCUGACGACAACCAUGCAGCACCUAGUUUCUUGCCCCGAAGGGAUGACCUGUUUCCAGAUCAGUCAAUAACUUUCAAGCCCGGGUAAGGUUCCUCGCGUAUCAUCGAAUUAAACCACAUGUUCCUCCGCUUGUGCGGGCCCCCGUCAAUUCCUUUGAGUUUCAUUCUUGCGAACGUACUCCCCAGGUGGAUAGCUUAUCGAUUUCUCUAAGUCACCGACUGUGUAUCGCCGACAACGAGCUAUCAUCGUUUACUGCGUGGACUAC